This 264-nucleotide signal recognition particle RNA is filed under the name Microcebus murinus (gray mouse lemur). RNAcentral describes it as "Metazoan signal recognition particle RNA (ENSMICG00000030847.2)". It matches the Rfam family "Metazoan signal recognition particle RNA". From Rfam's summary of the family: The signal recognition particle (SRP) is a universally conserved ribonucleoprotein. The record is from RNAcentral. Lineage: Eukaryota; Metazoa; Chordata; Mammalia; Primates; Cheirogaleidae.
GCUGGGUAUGGUGGCACAGGCCUGUAGUUCCAGCUUCUCAGGAGGCUAAGGCAGGAGGGAUCGCUUGAGCCCGGGAGUUCUGGGCUGUAGUGAGCUGUGCCAAUUGAUUGUCUGCACUAAGUUUAGCAACCUGUGGGAACCACCAGGUUGCCUAAGGAGGCUGGAAUGCCUAGGUCAGAAACAAAGCAGGAGUUGAUCAGUAGUGGGAUUGUGCCUAUGAAUGGCAACUGCACUCCAACCUGGCAACAUAGCAAGACCUCUACA